RNAcentral lists this ribosomal RNA (253 nucleotides) under uncultured bacterium. RNAcentral describes it as "partial 16S ribosomal RNA". It matches the Rfam family "Bacterial small subunit ribosomal RNA", at positions 524 to 776 of the family's 1533-position model. The record is from RNAcentral.
UACGUAGGGGGCAAGCGUUGUCCGGAUUUAUUGGGCGUAAAGAGCGUGUAGGCGGCUAGGUAGGUCCGUUGUGAAAACUCGAGGCUCAACCUCGAGACGCCGGUGGAAACCAUCUAGCUAGAGUCCGGAAGAGGAGAGUGGAAUUCCUGGUGUAGCGGUGAAAUGCGCAGAUAUCAGGAAGAACACCAAUGGCGAAAGCAGCUCUCUGGGACGGUACUGACGCUGAGGCGCGAAAGCGUGGGGAGCGAACAGG